Mauremys mutica (yellowpond turtle) is the source of this 423-nucleotide non-coding RNA. Lineage: Eukaryota; Metazoa; Chordata; Testudines; Geoemydidae. The record is from the annotation of a RefSeq genome assembly.
AUGACACUGUCACUGCUCUGCUCCCUUUUCCUACUCGCCGCCCCAUCAGGUGUCCUCUCUCAGGUGCAGCUGGUCCAGUCCGGCCCAGGAGCGGUGAAGCCCGGGGAGACCCUCACGCUGAGCUGCGCUGUCUCGGGUUACACCAUCACCAGUGGUUACGGCUGGCACUGGAUCCGGCAGCCCCCAGGGACAGGGCUGGAGUGGCUGGGACGGGGAUAUUACAGCGGUUCCACGUGGAACACGAACUACGCCUCCUCCUUCCAGAGCCGAAUCACCAUCUCCACUGACUCCUCCAAGAACCAGUUCUCCCUGCAGCUCCGCGCGCUGACAGCUGCAGACACCGCCGUGUAUUACUGCGCCAGAGACACAGUGACACAGAGCAGAGCAGGGACCGGACAAAAACGGGAAGCGGAGCCUACAUAG